Molecule: ribosomal RNA, 332 nt
Filed under: uncultured Butyrivibrio sp.
Lineage: Bacteria; Bacillati; Bacillota; Clostridia; Lachnospirales; Lachnospiraceae
Description: bacterial SSU rRNA
Rfam family: Bacterial small subunit ribosomal RNA
Source: RNAcentral
GAUGAACGCUGGCGGCGUGCCUAACACAUGCAAGUCGAGCGGAGUAAGCCACCGGAUGAAGAUUCGUCGGAUUCCACCGGUUUACUUAGCGGCGGAUGGGUGAGUAACGCGUGGACAACCUGCCCUUCACUGGGGGAUAACAACCGGAAACGGGUGCUAAUACCGCAUGGGCGCGACGGGCCGCAUGACCUGUAGCGUAAAGAUUUAUCGGUGAAGGAUGGGUCCGCGUCGGAUUAACUAGUUGGCGGGGUAACGGCCCACCAAGGUGAUGAUCCGUAGCCGGCCUGAGAGGGCGACCGGCCACAUUGGGACUGAGACACGGCCCAAACUCC